Molecule: non-coding RNA, 187 nt
Filed under: Chattonella subsalsa
Lineage: Eukaryota; Raphidophyceae; Chattonellales; Chattonellaceae
Source: RNAcentral
UUUUUUUUUUUUUUUUUUUUUUUUUGGUUUCUGCAUGCUUUGGACUAUUCCUGGUGCAAUCCUGGGGUCGAUUGAAGAUGCCCGAGUUGACUUAAAAAUUCAAAGAAAUAAAAAAUGAGUUUCUGGACUUUUUGUUGCAAGAAAUGACUGAUUUCUUUUAAUCUAAGCUGAAAUAGAGAAAAAUGCU